ACGCUCGACACCUACGGGAGGCAGCAGUCGGGAAUAUUGCGCAAUGGAGGAAACUCUGACGCAGUGACGCCGCGUGCAGGAAGAAGGUUUUCGGAUUGUAAACUGCUUUAGACAGGGAAGAAAGAAAUGACAGUACCUGUAGAAUAAGCUCCGGCUAACUACGUGUCAGCAGCCGCGGUAAUCUGAGCGGGCUGGCAAGGC
RNAcentral lists this ribosomal RNA (201 nucleotides) under uncultured bacterium. RNAcentral's name for it is "partial 16S ribosomal RNA". It matches the Rfam family "Bacterial small subunit ribosomal RNA", at positions 328 to 539 of the family's 1533-position model. The record is from RNAcentral.